GGUUGAAAGCUCUUCGCAAGGGAAGAACGAUAAUCUAAUAAACUGUGUUAAUGACGGUUACCUGAAUAAGAAGCCCGGCUAACUACGUGCCAGCAGCCGCGGUAAUACGUAGGGUGCGAGCGUGAAUGGGAAUUACUGGGCGUAAAGCGUGCGCAGGCGGUUCUGAAAGUCAGAUGUGAAAUCCCCGGGCUCAACCUGGGAACUGCGUUUGAAACUCCAAAGCUAGAGUAUGGGAGAGGGGGGUAGAAUUCCACGUGUAGCAGUGAAAUGCGUAGAGAUGUGGAGGAAUACCAAAUGGCGAAGGCAGCCCCCUGGCUUAAUACUGACGCUCAUGCACGAAAGCGUGGGGAGCAAACAGGAUUAGAUACCCUGGUAGUCCACGCCCUAAACGAUGUCUACUAGUUGUUGGGAGAGUAAAAUCUCUUAGUAACGCAGCUAACGCGUGAAGUAUACCGCCUGGGGAGUACGGUCGCAAGAUUAACACUCACAGGAAUCGACGGGGGCCCGCACAAGCGGUGGAUUCUGUGGAUUACUUCGAUGCAACCGCGAGAGACCUUUACCUGUGCUUGACAUAUAGCGAACUUAGCAGAG
This 591-nucleotide ribosomal RNA is filed under the name uncultured archaeon. Its description in RNAcentral is "bacterial SSU rRNA". It matches the Rfam family "Bacterial small subunit ribosomal RNA", at positions 421 to 1005 of the family's 1533-position model. The record is from RNAcentral.